Molecule: long non-coding RNA, 2014 nt
Organism: Vombatus ursinus (common wombat)
Lineage: Eukaryota; Metazoa; Chordata; Mammalia; Diprotodontia; Vombatidae
Exons: 3
Source: RefSeq, a predicted model, not a curated record
UGUGAUUUCAUUGGUAGAGAAAGGAAACUCCCUCCACCAGUGAGAACCAAUACCUGCUCUGCAGUUUAUAGAGUGGAAAGUUGCUGAGGCAAAGUUACCUUGAGAGGUGGCUCGAGGACUCUCUCCCCAGCCGUGGCACCACCCUCCUCCCCACCCCCCAGUUACAGGCUAUGUGACCACUGCCCUUGGCCCAAGAGCCCCAGCCCUCUGCCGUCUCAUCCCCAUCUGGGAAGGGGAGCCCUGGAUCUGGACAGCUCUGGCCUGGGUAUGCCCAGCUCUGGAUGGGGGAGGAGGGGGUACAUUUAAAUAUUCACACAGAGCUGAGGGGGAGAAGCCUGAACUGCUGGCCUGAGUGUGGACGCUUCUACCCCAGAAUGUCGGUGACCAGUCUAUCCUGUAAAAGGGACUGAGGCUAGGAACCUCCCUCUCUCCAUCCGACGUGUCCGGAGGAUGGAGAGUCGAGAGGAGAAGAAGAGAGGGUGAAGAAGUUUAUCUGGAUGUGGGAGCACAGGGGGAAAAGUCUGAGGUCCAAGAUUUCCAACCACUUUUAGGACAUCCCAUUGCUCAGAGGGGGAAAACUGAGGCUGUGGACACCACACAAGAACAGGACCCUGCCCAGGUAACCUGCUUGGCCGGAAACUUCUCCAGGAUUGAGCCGGGGUCUCCUGAAAUUUUCUAAGUGGCUCCUCAAAUCUGGGCUGUGGCAGAGGUGGUCAUGAAAGAAAAAACUACCUCCCCUGCCCCUUAGAGCUCCUCCCCAACUGCCAUGUCUCCACAGGUCCCCUCCAUUCCCACCUGAUCCCACUCUAAUGCAGAGUGGCCAGGCCUUUGCCUCGGGGGUGGUGGGGAAGGAAAGGAAUGAGGAGUGGGGUGAAGCCGGCUGCUGUCCCACCCUUGUCACUCACCUGGGAUUCCUGGAGGCCCCGGCUGCCCGGGAUGCCCAUGACCCUCAUCCCCUCGUUCUCCUUUCUCUCCGCGUUUCCCUGCCAAGAGCAAAGGAGGCUCUCAGAGCUCGGCUCCCCCUGCCCAAGGCCAGCAGGGAGGAGCCAGGAAGGAGCAAGGCCAGGGCCAGAGGAGAGGUUCCGAACCCAGGGCCCUGUUUCCUCAUCAGAUGAUGUCUCUCCCUUCCAAGUAAGAAGCCCCAGAUGAGCCUUGGAGGAAAGCUAGGAAGGAGAGCAGGCAGCUGGGGGAGGGGGGUGAGGAGGGGAUAUGGGCACCUACAUACAGGUGCCCCAAAGCAUAGCAGGAGCCCUCCAUCCAGCAUGCCACUUCUGUGCAACAAACAUGUUGUUUGUUGUUAUCAUUCCCUUUUUUAUGGUGUGCAGGCCAAGAUGGCCUUAGGACAAGUAGCUCUACUAUUAUCCUUAGCAGUCUUAUUGUCACUAUUUUUUUCAGUAAGCAUUUAUGAAGCCCCUGCUAUAUAAUAUAUAUGCAUGUGAGUGGGGGGGGGCACUGCGCUGGGUGAUAGGAAUACAGGUACAAAAGUGAACCAAUUCCUGCCCUCUAGGAGCUUAUAUUCUACAGGAGGAUGCAACAUGCUUACAGAGAGUAAGUACAGGAUAUAUACAAAUGAAUACACUGGGGUUUUGGUGGGGAGGCAUUAACACCUGGGGAAAUCAGGAGAGACUACUUGAAUAGCACUCCAAGGCUUACAGAAUGCUUCCUCCACAACAACCCUGUGAGAUAGGGAGAGUAAAGGUUGUUAUCCUUGUUUUUUCAGAUGAGGAAACUGAGGCCCCAGUAGGCCAUAUGGUAGAGCCAAGACAAGAACAAUCCAGGUCCUCUAAUUCCCUCAGCACAGUGCUGGGCACAAAGCAGGUUGUUGACUGAUUGACUGCCUCUGAGUCCAACACACCUGGCCCUUCCUGUGCGCCUUGGAACCAGUCCCAGCUCCCAGGCUCCUUGCAGGGCCCUUUUGCUUACUUACCCUUUGGUCCUGUGUUGCCGAUCUGUCCCACAGCGCCAAUGAUACCAGGGAUGCCUCGGGGGCCUGGGUGUCCGUGUGGCCCUUGCU